GAUGAACGCUAGCUACAGGCUUAACACAUGCAAGUCGAGGGGAAACGAUAGAGAAAACUUGCUUUUUCUAGGCGUCGACCGGCGCACGGGUGAGUAACGCGUAUCCAACCUGCCCAUUACUUGGGGAUAACCUUGCGAAAGUAAGACUAAUACCCACUGACGUCCAUAGAAGACAUCUGAAAUGGAUUAAAGAUUUAUCGGUGAUGGAUGGGGAUGCGUCUGAUUAGCUUGUUGGCGGGGUAACGGCCCACCAAGGCGACGAUCAGUAGGGGUUCUGAGAGGAAGGUCCCCCACAUUGGAACUGAGACACGGUCCAAACUCCUACGGGAGGCAGCAGUGAGGAAUAUUGGUCAAUGGACGAGAGUCUGAACCAGCCAAGUAGCGUGCAGGAUGACGGCCCUAUGGGUUGUAAACUGCUUUUAUAAGGGAAUAAAGUGGGAGUCGUGACUCCUUUUGCAUGUACCUUAUGAAUAAGGACCGGCUAAUUCCGUGCCAGCCGCCGCGGUAA
RNAcentral lists this ribosomal RNA (508 nucleotides) under uncultured bacterium. Its description in RNAcentral is "partial 16S ribosomal RNA". It matches the Rfam family "Bacterial small subunit ribosomal RNA", at positions 28 to 523 of the family's 1533-position model. The record is from RNAcentral.